GCCGGGAUGCCCGAAUGGUAAAGGGGUCGGCCUCGAGAGCCGAUGGGGUUCCAGACCCCGUGUGGGUUCAAAUCCCACUCCCGGCGCCA
This 89-nucleotide transfer RNA is filed under the name Candidatus Geothermarchaeota archaeon. RNAcentral's name for it is "tRNA-Ser". It matches the Rfam family "tRNA". From Rfam's summary of the family: Transfer RNA (tRNA) molecules are approximately 80 nucleotides in length. Their secondary structure includes four short double-helical elements and three loops (D, anti-codon, and T loops). The record is from RNAcentral. Lineage: Archaea; Thermoproteati; Candidatus Geothermarchaeota.